RNAcentral lists this ribosomal RNA (253 nucleotides) under uncultured bacterium. RNAcentral's name for it is "partial 16S ribosomal RNA". It matches the Rfam family "Bacterial small subunit ribosomal RNA", at positions 524 to 776 of the family's 1533-position model. The record is from RNAcentral.
UACGGAGGAUGCAAGCGUUAUCCGGAUUUAUUGGGCGUAAAGCGUCCGCAGGUGGUUUUUCAAGUCUGCUGUUAAAGCGCAGAGCUUAACUCUGUAACGGCGGUGGAAACUGAGAGACUAGAGUAUGGUAGGGGUUGCGGGAAUUCCCAGUGUAGCGGUGAAAUGCGUAGAUAUUGGGAAGAACACCAGCGGCGAAAGCGCGCAACUGGGCCAUUACUGACACUCAUGGACGAAAGCUAGGGGAGCGAAAGGG